This 75-nucleotide transfer RNA is filed under the name Candidatus Lloydbacteria bacterium CG22_combo_CG10-13_8_21_14_all_47_15. RNAcentral's name for it is "tRNA-Arg". It matches the Rfam family "tRNA". From Rfam's summary of the family: Transfer RNA (tRNA) molecules are approximately 80 nucleotides in length. Lineage: Bacteria; Candidatus Lloydiibacteriota. The record is from RNAcentral.
CUCCCCGUAGCUCAAUGGCUAGAGUAGCGGGCUUCUAUCCCGCUGAUGUGGGUUCGACUCCUACCGGGGAGACGA